GACGAACGCUGGCGGCGUGCUUAACACAUGCAAGUCGAACGGAAAGGCCCUGCUUUUGUGGGGUGCUCGAGUGGCGAACGGGUGAGUAACACGUGAGUAACCUGCCCUUGACUUUGGGAUAACUUCAGGAAACUGGGGCUAAUACCGGAUAGGAGCUCCUGCUGCAUGGUGGGCGUUGGAAAGUUUCGGCGGUUGGGGAUGGACUCGCGGCUUAUCAGCUUGUUGGUGGGGUAGUGGCUUACCAAGGCUUUGACGGGUAGCCGGCCUGGGAGGGUGACCGGCUACAUUGGGACUGGGAUGCGGCCCAGACUGAUACGGGAGGCAGGAGUGGGGAAUAUUGCACAAUGGGCGGAGGCGUGAUGCAGCAACGCCGCGUGGGGGAUGACGGCCUUCGGGUUGUAAACCGCUUUCGCCUGUGACGAAGCGUGAGUGACGGUAAUGGGUAAAGAAGCACCGGCUAACUACGU
This 467-nucleotide ribosomal RNA is filed under the name uncultured bacterium. RNAcentral describes it as "partial 16S ribosomal RNA". It matches the Rfam family "Bacterial small subunit ribosomal RNA", at positions 28 to 506 of the family's 1533-position model. The record is from RNAcentral.